GAUGAACGCUGGCGGCGUGCCUAAUACAUGCAAGUCGAGCGAACGGACGAGAAGCUUGCUUCUCUGAUGUUAGCGGCGGACGGGUGAGUAACACGUGGAUAACCUACCUAUAAGACUGGGAUAACUUCGGGAAACCGGAGCUAAUACCGGAUAAUAUUUUGAACCGCAUGGUUCAAAAGUGAAAGACGGUCUUGCUGUCACUUAUAGAUGGAUCCGCGCUGCAUUAGCUAGUUGGUAAGGUAACGGCUUACCAAGGCAACGAUGCAUAGCCGACCUGAGAGGGUGAUCGGCCACACUGGAACUGAGACACGGUCCAGACUCCUACGGGAGGCAGCAGUAGGGAAUCUUCCGCAAUGGGCGAAAGCCUGACGGAGCAACGCCGCGUGAGUGAUGAAGGUCUUCGGAUCGUAAAACUCUGUUAUUAGGGAAGAACAUAUGUGUAAGUAACUGUGCACAUCUUGACGGUACCUAAUCAGAAAGCCACGGCUAACUACGUGCCAGCAGCCGCGGUAAUACGUAGGUGGCAAGCGUUAUCCGGAAUUAUUGGGCGUAAAGCGCGCGUAGGCGGUUUUUUAAGUUCUGAUGUGAAAGCCCACGGCUCAACCGUGGAGGGUCAUUGGAAACUGGAAAACUUGAGUGCAGAAGAGGAAAGUGGAAUUCCAUGUGUAGCGGUGAAAUGCGCAGAGAUAUGGAGGAACACCAGUGGCGAAGGCGACUUUCUGGUCUGUAACUGACGCUGAUGUGCGAAAGCGUGGGGAUCAAACAGGAUUAGAUACCCUGGUAGUCCACGCCGUAAACGAUGAGUGCUAAGUGUUAGGGGGUUUCCGCCCCUUAGUGCUGCAGCUAACGCAUUAAGCACUCCGCCUGGGGAGUACGACCGCAAGGUUGAAACUCAAAGGAAUUGACGGGGACCCGCACAAGCGGUGGAGCAUGUGGUUUAAUUCGAAGCAACGCGAAGAACCUUACCAAAUCUUGACAUCCUUUGACAACUCUAGAGAUAGAGCCUUCCCCUUCGGGGGACAAAGUGACAGGUGGUGCAUGGUUGUCGUCAGCUCGUGUCGUGAGAUGUUGGGUUAAGUCCCGCAACGAGCGCAACCCUUAAGCUUAGUUGCCAUCAUUAAGUUGGGCACUCUAAGUUGACUGCCGGUGACAAACCGGAGGAAGGUGGGGAUGACGUCAAAUCAUCAUGCCCCUUAUGAUUUGGGCUACACACGUGCUACAAUGGACAAUACAAAGGGCAGCGAAACCGCGAGGUCAAGCAAAUCCCAUAAAGUUGUUCUCAGUUCGGAUUGUAGUCUGCAACUCGACUACAUGAAGCUGGAAUCGCUAGUAAUCGUAGAUCAGCAUGCUACGGUGAAUACGUUCCCGGGUCU
Molecule: ribosomal RNA, 1373 nt
Filed under: uncultured bacterium
Lineage: Bacteria
Description: bacterial SSU rRNA
Rfam family: Bacterial small subunit ribosomal RNA
Source: RNAcentral